CAUGUGAUCCGCGCGCUAGCUUCCGGCAUGUUAGUGCGCAAGUACGAACCUUCCACUGGUAGGCCUCCACUUUUUGCAGCCCAGUAAAAAUGAUGCACUAUUUGAAUUUUUUUUGUUUUUGUCAGCGAUGCAUUGUACCUGGCCCUCUGUCUCAGCGGAAACGUGCAGAACUGAGAGAGGCCCAAUUGGUGGCCGUAUGAUGACCUUUGAAACACGGGGUAAAACUAUAGUAGUAAAUGCUAAAAUCCCACGGCAAGAACUGACCAAGAAGUAUCCUUUCAAAAUCUAUGGCCAUGAAAAGCAUCGCUUCAUCCAUUGUCCAAGAGUAAUUGAAAAUAAUUGAGUUUGCGAGAGAUGGCAACACGUAUAAUAGUUGGCAGAUGACGUAUCAAAUGAAACCAUCCAUGUACUAACUUGAG
Molecule: long non-coding RNA, 419 nt
Filed under: Brachypodium distachyon (stiff brome)
Lineage: Eukaryota; Viridiplantae; Streptophyta; Magnoliopsida; Poales; Poaceae
Description: long non-coding RNA (BDIS_LNC003492)
Source: RNAcentral